GACGGGGCCCGCACAAGCGGUGGAGUAUGUGGUUUAAUUCGAUGCAACGCGAAGAACCUUACCUGGUCUUGACAUCCCGGAGACCCUUAGGAAACUAGGGGGUGCCUUCCAUCUGGAAGAAUCUGGAGACAGGUGCUGCAUGGCUGUCGUCAGCUCGUGUCGUGAGAUGUUGGGUUAAGUCCCGCAACGAGCGCAACCCUUGCCUUUAGUUGCCAGCAGUUCGGCUGGGCACUCUAAAGGGACUGCCGGUGUUAAACCGGAGGAAGGUGGGGAUGACGUCAAGUCCUCAUGGCCUUUAUGACCAGGGCUACACACGUACUACAAUGGCCGAUACAAAGGGCAGCGACACUGCGAGGUGAAGCCAAUCCCGUAAAAUCGGUCUCAGUCCGGAUUGGAGUCUGCAACUCGACUCCAUGAAGUUGGAAUCGCUAGUAAUCGUGGAUCAGCAUGCCACGGUGAAUACGUUCCCGGGCCUU
Molecule: ribosomal RNA, 476 nt
Filed under: uncultured Desulfobulbus sp.
Lineage: Bacteria; Pseudomonadati; Thermodesulfobacteriota; Desulfobulbia; Desulfobulbales; Desulfobulbaceae
Description: bacterial SSU rRNA
Rfam family: Bacterial small subunit ribosomal RNA
Source: RNAcentral